This 745-nucleotide ribosomal RNA is filed under the name marine metagenome. RNAcentral describes it as "bacterial SSU rRNA". It matches the Rfam family "Bacterial small subunit ribosomal RNA", at positions 8 to 801 of the family's 1533-position model. The record is from RNAcentral.
AGAGUUUGAUCCUGGCUCAGAACGAACGCUGGCGGCAGGCCUAACACAUGCAAGUCGAGCGCGCCUUCGGGCGAGCGGCGGACGGGUUAGUAACGCGUGGGAACGUGCCCAGAUCUACGGAAUAGCCACUGGAAACGGUGAGUAAUACCGUAUACGCCCUUCGGGGGAAAGAUUUAUCGGAUUUGGAUCGGCCCGCGUUAGAUUAGGUAGUUGGUGGGGUAACGGCCUACCAAGCCUACGAUCUAUAGCUGGUUUUAGAGGAUGAUCAGCAACACUGGGACUGAGACACGGCCCAGACUCCUACGGGAGGCAGCAGUGGGGAAUCUUGGACAAUGGGGGCAACCCUGAUCCAGCCAUGCCGCGUGAGUGAAGAAGGCCCUAGGGUCGUAAAACUCUUUCGCCUGUGAUGAUAAUGACAGUAGCAGGUAAAGAAACCCCGGCUAACUCCGUGCCAGCAGCCGCGGUAAUACGGAGGGGGUUAGCGUUGUUCGGAAUUACUGGGCGUAAAGCGCACGUAGGCGGAUUAGAAAGUUAGAGGUGAAAUCCCGGGGCUCAACCCCGGAACUGCCUUUAAAACUACUAGUCUAGAGUUCGAGAGAGGUGAGUGGAAUUCCGAGUGUAGAGGUGAAAUUCGUAGAUAUUCGGAGGAACACCAGUGGCGAAGGCGGCUCACUGGCUCGAUACUGACGCUGAGGUGCGAAAGUGUGGGGAGCAAACAGGAUUAGAUACCCUGGUAGUCCACACC